RNAcentral lists this ribosomal RNA (973 nucleotides) under Helicobacter pylori GAM112Ai. Its description in RNAcentral is "bacterial SSU rRNA". It matches the Rfam family "Bacterial small subunit ribosomal RNA", at positions 556 to 1528 of the family's 1533-position model. The record is from RNAcentral. Lineage: Bacteria; Pseudomonadati; Campylobacterota; Epsilonproteobacteria; Campylobacterales; Helicobacteraceae.
GGGCGUAAAGAGCGCGUAGGCGGGAUAGUCAGUCAGGUGUGAAAUCCUAUGGCUUAACCAUAGAACUGCAUUUGAAACUACUAUUCUAGAGUGUGGGAGAGGUAGGUGGAAUUCUUGGUGUAGGGGUAAAAUCCGUAGAGAUCAAGAGGAAUACUCAUUGCGAAGGCGACCUGCUGGAACAUUACUGACGCUGAUUGCGCGAAAGCGUGGGGAGCAAACAGGAUUAGAUACCCUGGUAGUCCACGCCCUAAACGAUGGAUGCUAGUUGUUGGAGGGCUUAGUCUCUCCAGUAAUGCAGCUAACGCAUUAAGCAUCCCGCCUGGGGAGUACGGUCGCAAGAUUAAAACUCAAAGGAAUAGACGGGGACCCGCACAAGCGGUGGAGCAUGUGGUUUAAUUCGAAGAUACACGAAGAACCUUACCUAGGCUUGACAUUGAGAGAAUCCGCUAGAAAUAGUGGAGUGUCUGGCUUGCUAGACCUUGAAAACAGGUGCUGCACGGCUGUCGUCAGCUCGUGUCGUGAGAUGUUGGGUUAAGUCCCGCAACGAGCGCAACCCCCUUUCUUAGUUGCUAACAGGUCAUGCUGAGAACUCUAAGGAUACUGCCUCCGUAAGGAGGAGGAAGGUGGGGACGACGUCAAGUCAUCAUGGCCCUUACGCCUAGGGCUACACACGUGCUACAAUGGGGUGCACAAAGAGAAGCAAUACUGCGAAGUGGAGCCAAUCUUCAAAACGCCUCUCAGUUCGGAUUGUAGGCUGCAACUCGCCUGCAUGAAGCUGGAAUCGCUAGUAAUCGCAAAUCAGCCAUGUUGCGGUGAAUACGUUCCCGGGUCUUGUACUCACCGCCCGUCACACCAUGGGAGUUGUGUUUGCCUUAAGUCAGGAUGCUAAAUUGGCUACUGCCCACGGCACACACAGCGACUGGGGUGAAGUCGUAACAAGGUAACCGUAGGUGAACCUGCGGUUGGAUCACCU